RNAcentral lists this ribosomal RNA (490 nucleotides) under uncultured bacterium. RNAcentral's name for it is "partial 16S ribosomal RNA". It matches the Rfam family "Bacterial small subunit ribosomal RNA", at positions 30 to 507 of the family's 1533-position model. The record is from RNAcentral.
AUUGAACGCUGGCGGCAGGCCUAACACAUGCAAGUCGAACGGUAACAGGAAGAAGCUUGCUUCUUUGCUGACGAGUGGCGGACGGGUGAGUAAUGUCUGGGAAACUGCCUGAUGGAGGGGGAUAACUACUGGAAACGGUAACUAAUACCGCAUAACGUCGCAAGACCAAAAAGGGGGACCUUCGGGCCUCUUGCCAUCGGAUGUGCCCAGAUGGGAUUAGCUAGUAGGUGGGGUAACGGCUCACCUAGGCGACGAUCCCUAGCUGGUCUGAGAGGAUGACCAGCCACACUGGAACUGAGACACGGUCCAGACUCCUACGGGAGGCAGCAGUGGGGAAUAUUGCACAAUGGGCGCAAGCCUGAUGCAGCCAUGCCGCGUGUAUGAAGAAGGCCUUCGGGUUGUAAAGUACUUUCAGCGGGGAGGAAGGGAGUAAAGUUAAUACCUUUGCUCAUUGACGUUACCCGCAGAAGAAGCACCGGCUAACUCCGUG